RNAcentral lists this long non-coding RNA (1410 nucleotides) under Bemisia tabaci. Its description in RNAcentral is "lncRNA ENSASIAIIG013094". The record is from RNAcentral. Lineage: Eukaryota; Metazoa; Arthropoda; Insecta; Hemiptera; Aleyrodidae.
AACGGGGGAAUACAGGUGUCGUGCGCAAUCCUUUCAUUUUCGCAGACAAUACGCAACGUUUCGACUGUAAUUUUCCGUUUUUCCUGUAGGUACAUAUUUUCCUUUUUUCAGUAUCACCGCGUGAAGCGAAUGAAGACUUCGUCGAACAGAUAUCAUUUUUAAAAAAUCCUGGAAAAAACCUGGAAAGUACUUUUUCCCCUCCAAUUUACAAUAUCACUCAUUUGUAGGUACUCUGCCAUUUUUUUCAACGUGACCUUCACUAGUCCUCUAGCGUCUAUUUUCAUCAGCCGAGCAAAAUUUUUCGUGAGCCUCUCAGUCAGCAUGGAGAUGUCUAGUAAGGCAGUGAAGCUGUUGCUCUGUUUGGUCCUUUGCCUAGCGGUUAUAGAUGAAAUUCGGAGCACCCGGUCACCCCGUCGGAGGUCAGAAUCGCCCCCGAGCUCCGGUUCUCCCGGUCGGCUAACCCGGAUUACGACUGGUCUUUCGGCAUUUGUUCGCUCUUUCUCAACUUCCUCGUGGCGGAGAGGCAGUGAUAGAGCAGAGUCUUCGCGGAGAGGCAGUGAUAGAGCAGAGUCUUCGCGGAGAGGCAAUGAUAGAGCAGAGUCUUCGCGGAGAGGUGAUGAUGGAGCAGGGCCUUCGAGGACUAGAGGCCAUCGCAGUAGAAGUCCUUCCCCACCACCGGGAUUCUCUCGUACAUUGGCACGUCCUAUUACACCGGCUCAACCCCCUCAAACACCGGCAAACCCUCCUCCAACACCGUCAAACCGUCCUUCGCUACCACCCGCAUUCUUCGACCCUUCACUACCGGCGUUCCAUCCUCCACCACCGGGUUACCGUCCUCCGCUACCACCGGCAUACCCUCCUCCAACAUUGGUAAACCGUCCUCCAACAUCGGCAAGCCGUCCUCCGCUACCACCACGGGCAAACCCUCCGCCACAGGGGAAUCUUCCAGCGUUUUUGCGCAGCACGAUCACGGCUCAAAACGAUCAUCACCUUAGACUGCUCGCGCAGCUCGAACGAGAUCACAUUUACGAAGGAGGCCUAUUUAUGACGGUGGAAGAUUUUCGAGCGAAAAAGGACAGUAUUAUCCGCAGAUUGGACGACCCGGAAAUGUGCAACCCAGCGGAUAUGAAUAUUGGCGGCCGUAAAUGUCGAGCUGCGUUCACAGAAUUCAGGGAAAUCUUGAGAUUGUGGCGCGGCCCGUGCAAAGAUGCGUUUCUCGGCUGGUGCCAAAACUGGGGAGAGCCCGACGGAUGGAAGUGCUCUUUAUUCAUGAAGGACCCGAACGCCAACCAGCAGAGGGAUGCUGUCCAGGGAUAUUCCUUCAAAAUGGAGGAUUGCGUCAACAUGUUGAAACCGGAUGACUAUGCAAGAGACUUAGAGAACGCCUUUGGCCCCCCUGCAAUUGACUGA